UAUGGCCAUAUCACAUUGAAACGCCGGUUCUCGUACAAUCACUGAAGUUAAGCAACUUCGAACAUGGUCAGUACAUAGAUGGGUGACCGCUUGGGAAUACAAGGUGCUGUAAG
Non-coding RNA from Acanthosepion pharaonis, 113 nucleotides. Lineage: Eukaryota; Metazoa; Mollusca; Cephalopoda; Sepiida; Sepiidae. The record is from the annotation of a GenBank genome assembly.